Molecule: small RNA, 1968 nt
Filed under: Pan troglodytes (chimpanzee)
Lineage: Eukaryota; Metazoa; Chordata; Mammalia; Primates; Hominidae
Description: processed transcript
Source: RNAcentral
GGCGGCGGCGGUGACAGGCCAGCGGCCUGAGACCGCGGCGGCCGAGGAGGCCUCGAGGCCGCAGUGGGCGCCGCCAGACCACUGCCAGGCUCAGGCGGCGGCCGGGCUGGGCGACGGCGAGGACGCACCGGUGCGUCCGCUGUGCAAGCCCCGCGGCAUCUGCUCGCGCGCCUACUUCCUGGUGCUGAUGGUGUUCGUGCACCUGUACCUGGGUAACGUGCUGGCGCUGCUGCUCUUCGUGCACUACAGCAACGGCGACGAAAGCAGCGAUCCCGGGCCCCAACACCGUGCCCAGGGCCCCGGGCCCGAGCCCACCUUAGGUCCCCUCACCCGGCUGGAGGGCAUCAAGGUGAGGACCUCCCUGCCCCGCCGCGCUCCAGGCCCUGCACGGCUGAGCCCGAGAGGACCGGCGCUCAGCCCGGGUCCCCACGCUGCCCCCGGCGCUGCUCUGCGUCGGUCCCGCGCGCUCCCACUCACUCGCCUGCUGUCGCGCUCCGGGCCGGGGCGACUUGGCCCUUCUUGGGCAGCGCGGUCUGGCGCCCCAGCUGUCCGCUGUGCGCCUUUUCCUUAGGUGGGGCACGAGCGUAAGGUCCAGCUGGUCACCGACAGGGAUCACUUCAUCCGAACCCUCAGCCUCAAGCCGCUGCUCUUCGGUAAGUCCGCCAGAUACUCCUGGGAAGGGCCAGGGGCUGCGGUUUGGUGGCCACCUUGAGGCUCGUUGUGACCACGUGACCUCUAUUUUGAAAAUGGCUGCUUCAAAGCAGCCCUUCCAGAGGAUUACCAAAGUGAAGGACCUUCCCGGUCCUCGAAAUAGGGUAACACUCCCUCUUAUCCCAACUCCCUGCAGUCCAUUCUUCCAUCACAGGGCUGGAAGGGUGAGCCUGAGGCUGGUGUCUAAACAUUUCAUUGCACCUGUCUUCCGUGCCACCAUUAAUUCUGUCACCCUCUAGAACUGGGAGGAAGGUGGGAGACUGAUAACCAGCUUUCUGCCGACCUCAGGACCUCUGGGGAAAAUCCCACUGCCGAAGUGGGCCUUGUGGUCUGAUGAGGAGCAGGCCGUCCAAAUGCAGAUAAACUGGUACCCCCCCAGCCUCCUCCACUGGAGUACCAGUCAGAGGCUCAGCUUUUGCUGCCAGCACUCUGAGAUUCUUCUUAAGGUGAAGUCUUUGUUCAGCCAUCAUGGGCAAAGCUUUCUAGGGUGACUCCAGUUGGAGCCACAACAUAGCUCAUCGUUUCUGAGCGCUAGUUAUGUGCUUGCCUUCAUAUGAUUAUUUCAUUUAAUUCCUGCAACCCCUCUGUGAAGUGGGUGUAGAUCCUACUCAGGCCAGUGAGGGGGAAAGUUAGGGACAGAGAGCUGCUGUGGCUUGGCCAGGCUGACAUGGUUACUUCAGUGGUGAAGCUAGGAUUAGAACCCACAUAGCCUGCCUCUAAGGCCUAUGCAGUAAAGCCACAGUGCGAGCUGUGAAGACCCCAGAGUCCUUCAAAGACCACCAGUGUCAACUGGGUGGGGACCCCUAGUCCCAUGGACAUCGUCCAGGGUGUUUGUGUAGCCCAGCCCUGGGUACCUGGCCUCUGUGACAAACAUAUUUGCAAACCCAGGGCCAUUCCUGCCUGCCGGGGGAUGGAAUGGGUUAGGAGCUGGGGCCAAAGUAGAACAUCUGAGCACAAGUCAUUACCUCCAAGGCAGAGGGUCCUGGUUGGGGAUUAUGCCUAGACCUGUCAGAAUGAUGUCAUAUGCAUGCUGUUUGUAGGGAAAUAGAUUAUGCUGUCAGUCCUGUUGUGGGAGAGGCACCCAAAGCUGGUUGUUGUUAUUAUUACUAUUACUAUUGAGUAACAUUGAAGUCUGUGCCAGGCACUAUUUUAGGUGCCAGGAACACAGCAUUGAACUAAAUAUAAACAAUGAAACAAAACCCUGAAGCUGACAUUCAAAUGAAGAGGAAACAGACAAUAAACAAACAAAUAAAUAUA